UAGACACGAUGACAUAGAGGCAGGCCUUUGGGACAUGUACUGUAUUCCGGAUUUUAGAUCCGAUGAAACAGUGAUGAACCACUGGGACCUGAGACGGACUUAUUCGCUUGCAUGCCAUUGUGCUCAUUCGCACAUGCUUGUGAGGGUCGCUCCCUACAAGCCGGCACUCCGGAGAUAGCCAUCGCGACAUAUGUUCGCACGUGCGGGAUUGGGCGUCGAAAUGGAUUGUCGUGGGGGAGGCUCAUUCCUAGAGUGGGGAUGUUGACUACCACGGGGCCACUAGGCACGGCGCAGGCCAGACAGCCUUCGGGUGGGUCUUACAUGAUUGGGACUUAGUGACAGAACAUGCUAUGUGAACUUUAAAACUAUUAAAGUGGACUUGGACUAGAAUAGUAAACAAUGACAUCUUUACUAUUUCUGCAUUGAGGACAUCGG
Molecule: long non-coding RNA, 435 nt
Filed under: Ananas comosus (pineapple)
Lineage: Eukaryota; Viridiplantae; Streptophyta; Magnoliopsida; Poales; Bromeliaceae
Description: long non-coding RNA (ACOM_LNC042283)
Source: RNAcentral